AUAAAAGCAAAACACUUCCCUUUCCUUUGGGAGGUUUCUAUUUAGUUUAUGAGAUAUACCAUAAUAGAAUACCUGUCAUUUCGCCUUGUCGAGAGGUUUUUCCUUUUCAGCUCGAAUCUUGAUCAACUUUGAUGGUAUCCAAAGUUUUUCUUCUCCUGGGGAAACCAAUGCAAAACCCCUUCCCCAACGUAACACAUGUCCUGGUUUCCAUACAGAGGUCAGUACAUCUUUGAAGUAUACUGGCUGAUUCAAUUAUGCAGGUUUUUUUUUCUGUACAGUGUCUUUCUACAGCUGUUUGUCCUUUCUCAUCAGAAUUAAGAAACUUUAGUGUUAAUAACACAUUAUGUAACCUAUGUUUUUGGGGGGGUUGUUCCCCCAGGCUGUUUGUGGACAUUUCUCUUAGUGUUCUAUUAGAUCUCUCUACCACUGCUUGUCCUGUAGGAUUGUGUGGAAUACCGGUUAUAUGCGUUAUGUUAAAAUAUUUGAAAAACUGCUCCAAUUUAGUAGAGACAUAUAAUUUUAGCUUCUUUGUCAAAAAUCAGGUGUUCAUAGGUGUGUGGGUUAACAUGCAGGUUUUCAAUUGAAUUCCAUUGGUCUAUCUGUCUAUUUUGUGCCCAUACCAAGCUGUUUUCAGGACUAUGGCUCUAUAAUAGAGCUUGAAGACAAGGAUGGUGAUACCUCCAGAAGUUCUUUAUUGUACAGGGUUUGUUUUGACUAUCCUGGGUUUUUUGUUUUUCCAUAUGAAAUUGAGUACUGUUCUUUCAAGGUCUGUGAAGAAUUGUGUUGGGAUUUUGAUGGGGAUUUCGUUGAAUCUGUAGAUUACUUUUGCAAGAUUGCCAUUUUAUUAUGUUAAUUCUACAUAUCUAAGAGCAUGGAAGAUCUUUCCAUUUUCUAGUAUCAUCUUUAAUUUCUUUCUUUACAGACUCAAAGUUCUUACUAUACAUGUGUUUCACUUUUUUGGUUAGCGUUACCAAAAGAUAUUUUAUGUUGUUUGUGGAUACUGUUAAGGUUGAUGUUUCUCUGAUUUCUUUC
Molecule: long non-coding RNA, 1032 nt
Filed under: Cricetulus griseus (Chinese hamster)
Lineage: Eukaryota; Metazoa; Chordata; Mammalia; Rodentia; Cricetidae
Description: lncRNA (ENSCGRG00015032164.1)
Source: RNAcentral